This 253-nucleotide ribosomal RNA is filed under the name uncultured bacterium. RNAcentral's name for it is "partial 16S ribosomal RNA". It matches the Rfam family "Bacterial small subunit ribosomal RNA", at positions 524 to 776 of the family's 1533-position model. The record is from RNAcentral.
UACGAAGGGGGCUAGCGUUGCUCGGAAUCACUGGGCGUAAAGGGUGCGUAGGCGGGUCUUUAAGUCAGGGGUGAAAUCCUGGAGCUCAACUCCAGAACUGCCUUUGAUACUGAGGAUCUUGAGACCGGGAGAGGUGAGUGGAAUUCCCAGUGUAGCGGUGAAAUGCGUAGAUAUUGGGAGGAACACCAGUGGCGAAGGCGGCUCACUGGACCGGAACUGACGCUGAGGCGCGAAAGCGUGGGGAGCAAACAGG